GGGGAAAAAAGGAGAAUUUAGGUCAAUUUAGUGGUUAUGAAUUUGGUAGCUAAUGCCCCUUCAACUAUAGGCUUAUAUCUCUAAUGAUUCCUAGUAUUUCUUGGAUUUGCAAUUUUUUGGGGGGGAUUAUUUUGGUUGAAUGAUAAAGGCAAAAUGUGUCUCUCGUGGUAGAUGCAAUCAUUCUUUUCUGAUAAGCGAGAAACAUAGAGAAUGAGAUAUCUGUUCUUUUGCCAGUUUCUUGGCACCAUUAUCGCUUACUCCAUAACAAAUAUAGGAUGGUUAAUGUAGUUUAAGAUAUAGCAAAAUUAUCUUUGAGUUGUUUGUUUUUAUGAAUUUCAUAGACAAUUUGUCG
This 352-nucleotide long non-coding RNA is filed under the name Mytilus galloprovincialis (Mediterranean mussel). Lineage: Eukaryota; Metazoa; Mollusca; Bivalvia; Mytilida; Mytilidae. The record is from RNAcentral.